GAUGAACGCUGGCGGCGUGCCUAAUACAUGCAAGUCGAACGGAAAGGCCUCUUUCGGGGGGUACUCGAGUGGCGAACGGGUGAGUAACACGUGAGUAACCUGCCCUUGACUUUGGGAUAACUUCAGGAAACUGGGGCUAAUACCGGAUAGGAGCUCCUGCUGCAUGGUGGGGGUUGGAAAGUUUCGGCGGUUGGGGAUGGACUCGCGGCUUAUCAGCUUGUUGGUGGGGUAGUGGCUUACCAAGGCUUUGACGGGUAGCCGGCCUGAGAGGGUGACCGGCCACAUUGGGACUGAGAUACGGCCCAGACUCCUACGGGAGGCAGCAGUGGGGAAUAUUGCACAAUGGGUGGAAGCCUGAUGCAGCAACGCCGUGUGCGGGAUGACGGCCUUCGGGUUGUAAACCGCUUUCGCUCAUGACGAAGCUUUGUGUGACGGUAGUGGGUAAAGAAGCACCGGCUAACUACGUG
This 467-nucleotide ribosomal RNA is filed under the name uncultured bacterium. RNAcentral describes it as "partial 16S ribosomal RNA". It matches the Rfam family "Bacterial small subunit ribosomal RNA", at positions 28 to 507 of the family's 1533-position model. The record is from RNAcentral.